Molecule: ribosomal RNA, 216 nt
Filed under: uncultured soil bacterium
Lineage: Bacteria
Description: partial 16S ribosomal RNA
Rfam family: Bacterial small subunit ribosomal RNA
Source: RNAcentral
AGAUUGAACGCUGGCGGCAUGCCUUACACAUGCAAGUCGAACGGCAGCACGGGGGCAACCCUGGUGGCGAGUGGCGAACGGGUGAGUAACAUAUCGGAACGUGCCCUGGAGUGGGGGAUAACUAGUACGAAAGACUAGCUAAUACCGCAUACGAUCUACGGAUGAAAGUGGGGGAUCGCAAGACCUCAUGCUCGUGGAGCGGCCGUAUAUCUGAUU